ACCUUCAACAAUUUGGUGAUUUUGAAGACGUGAUUUCUUUGUUCCAGGACUCAGUUAUUGAAAUCCCUCGCGAUUGCUGUCUCUAGCAUGCAAUUCACAUUGCAGAGUUCAAAGUUGAAUAAAACCGCAAGGAUCAAUAACAAAGGUACACAACAACUA
Long non-coding RNA from Patiria miniata (bat star), 159 nucleotides. RefSeq lists it as uncharacterized. Lineage: Eukaryota; Metazoa; Echinodermata; Asteroidea; Valvatida; Asterinidae. The transcript has 2 exons. The record is from RefSeq and is a predicted model, not a curated record.